RNAcentral lists this signal recognition particle RNA (99 nucleotides) under Actinomycetota bacterium. RNAcentral's name for it is "signal recognition particle sRNA small type". It matches the Rfam family "Bacterial small signal recognition particle RNA". From Rfam's summary of the family: The signal recognition particle (SRP) is a universally conserved ribonucleoprotein involved in the co-translational targeting of proteins to membranes. Archaeal SRP consists of a 7S RNA and homologues of the eukaryotic SRP19 and SRP54 proteins. In most bacteria, the SRP consists of a 4.5S RNA and the Ffh protein (a homologue of the eukaryotic SRP54 protein). Lineage: Bacteria; Bacillati; Actinomycetota. The record is from RNAcentral.
GGUCGGGUCCUGUGCAACAGCCGUCCGGGAACCAGGUCAGGACCGGAAGGUAGCAGCCUUCAACGGUACCGUCUGUGUGCCGCAGGGAACCUGGCCGUC